Molecule: ribosomal RNA, 442 nt
Filed under: uncultured bacterium
Lineage: Bacteria
Description: partial 16S ribosomal RNA
Rfam family: Bacterial small subunit ribosomal RNA
Source: RNAcentral
CCUACGGGAGGCAGCAGUGGGGGAUAUUGCACAAUGGGGGAAACUCUGAUGCAGCGACGCCGCGUGGGCGAAGAAGUAUUUCGGUAUGUAAAGCUCUAUCAGCAGGGAAGAAGUAAUGACGGUACCUGAGUAAGAAGCACCGCCUAAAUACGUGCCAGCAGCCGCGGUAAUACGGAGGGUGCAAGCGGUAUCCGGAUUUACUGGGUGUAAAGGGAGCGCAGGCGGCACGGCAAGCCUGAUGUGAAAGCCCGCGGCCCAACCGCGGGACUGCAUUGGGCACUACCGGGCUGGAGGGCCGGAGAGGUAGGCGGAAUUCCUAGUGUAGCGGUGAAAUGCGUAGAUAUUAGGAGGAACACCAGUGGCGAAGGCGGCCUACUGGACGGUGACUGACGCUGAGGCUCGAAAGCGUGGGGAGCAAACAGGAUUAGAUACCCUUGUAGUC